CUACGGGGGGCAGCAGUCGAGAAUCUUCCGCAAUGGACGAAAGUCUGACGGAGCGGCGCCGCGUGCGGGAUGAAGGCCUUCGGGUUGUAAACCGCUGUCAGUGGGGAGGAAAUGCAUCAGGGUUCUCCCUGGUGUUUGACCGAUCCGCAGAGGAAGCGCAGGCUAAGUUCGUGCCAGCAGCCGCGGUAACACGAACUGCGCGAACGUUAUUCGGAAUCACUGGGCUUAAAGAGUUCGUAGGCGGCCUUUCAAGUCGGGUGUGAAAUCCCUGGGCUCAACCGGGGAAUUGCGCCUGAUACUGUUGGGCUUGAGGGGGAUAGGGGUGAGCGGAAUUGAUGGUGGAGCGGUGAAAUGCGUUGAUAUCAGCAGGAACACCGGUGGCGAAGGCGGCUCACUGGAUCUCUUCUGACGCUGAGGAACGAAAGCUAGGGGAGCGAACGGGAUUAGAUACCCUCGUAGUC
RNAcentral lists this ribosomal RNA (461 nucleotides) under uncultured bacterium. RNAcentral's name for it is "partial 16S ribosomal RNA". It matches the Rfam family "Bacterial small subunit ribosomal RNA", at positions 339 to 795 of the family's 1533-position model. The record is from RNAcentral.